Molecule: non-coding RNA, 45 nt
Organism: Schistosoma margrebowiei
Lineage: Eukaryota; Metazoa; Platyhelminthes; Trematoda; Strigeidida; Schistosomatidae
Source: Rfam
AUCCAGCUGACGAGUCCCGGAUAGGACGAAAGACGCGUCCUGGAU